AUUGAACGCUGGCGGCAUGCCUUACACAUGCAAGUCGAACGGCAGCGGGGGAGAAGCUUGCUUUUCCUGCCGGCGAGUGGCGAACGGGUGAGUAAUACAUCGGAACGUGCCCUGUAGUGGGGGAUAACUAGUCGAAAGAUUAGCUAAUACCGCAUACGACCUGAGGGUGAAAGUGGGGGACCGCAAGGACCCAUGCUAUAGGAGCGGCCGAUGUCUGAUUAGCUAGUUGGUGGGGCAAAGGCCUACCAAGGCGACGAUCAGUAGCUGGUCUGAGAGGACGAUCAGCCACACUGGGACUGAGACACGGCCCAGACUCCUACGGGAGGCGGCAGUGGGGAAUUUUGGACAAUGGGCGAAAGCCUGAUUCAGCAAUGCCGCGUGUGUGAAGGAGGCCUUCGGGUUGUAAAGCACUUUUGUCCGGAAAGAAAUGGCUCUGGUUAAUACCUGGGGUCGAUGACGGUACCGGAAGAAUAAGGACCGGCUAACUACGUGCCAGCAGCCGCCGUAA
This 508-nucleotide ribosomal RNA is filed under the name uncultured bacterium. RNAcentral describes it as "partial 16S ribosomal RNA". It matches the Rfam family "Bacterial small subunit ribosomal RNA", at positions 30 to 523 of the family's 1533-position model. The record is from RNAcentral.